GUGCCUUUAUUUGAUAGACUUCAGAAAAUACCAAUGCGGUGCGUUUUAUAUUGCUAGGCAACCACUGAGGCAGCUGUCCUGUCAAUCAAACAUUGAAGCGUGAGCGCUCUUCACAUUUUGGUUUGCUGUUAACUGUCAUAUUAGCAGAAGCUGUCAUAAGAAAUAAGAGAAAUAAGAGGACGCUUGCUCUGACCUUAAUCGAGGUUGAGAGGUGCACAAACACGCAGUAGAAGUUACUGUUGGGCAGAUUUUGACUCAAUCUGAAGAUCAAACAGUGUAGCCUGGUCAAACUGUCACUAUUCAGUGUAAACAUACACCAGCAAUAAACUGUAUUAAGGAAACAGGUUCCACUCAGUAUUGUAUGUCAUGGUACCAUCAGAUUCCUGGAGAAGUUCCUAAACUCCUGAUCUAUCUCACAUCAGACAGAGCUUCAGGUGUUUCUGAAAGAUUCAGUGGCAGUGAGAGUGGAAACCACAUUGAUUUUACUCUGACCAUCAGUAAAGUUCAGCCUGAAGAUUCAGGAGUUUAUUACUGUAUGGCUCAACAUGACAAAGGAGGCAGCAACUGGGUGUUCACACUGUGUUAAUGCGUCAUACAAAAACCUCUACAAUAUUUUACUACUGCAGGUGGAUCUGUCUGAAAGUGUAGUGGGUAAGAAAACAGACUGCUGACAUUCAUACAGAAUUUAAUUAAAAGCUAUAUGUUUUUAAUAUGCUACAUGGAAAGUGUUUUGCAUAUUAUGCUACUUUAGAUACAAAAGUCCAAUGAAGAUCGGCUUUCAGUCCUACAAGGUUUACCCAAAAAGAAUAAUGUCUCCAUUACUUAUUCUGGGUAACUUGUUACUCAAGGUUCAAAUUUUGUAUAAUUAAUCUGGAAAUGUACAAUAAUUUUUUGCAAAGCUUUGGGUUGUUAUGCUUUAUUUACAU
Misgurnus anguillicaudatus (oriental weatherfish) is the source of this 926-nucleotide non-coding RNA. NCBI's taxonomy places the organism in Eukaryota, Metazoa, Chordata, Actinopteri, Cypriniformes, Cobitidae. The record is from RefSeq and is a predicted model, not a curated record.